This 73-nucleotide transfer RNA is filed under the name Felis catus (domestic cat). It matches the Rfam family "tRNA". Rfam says of the family: Transfer RNA (tRNA) molecules are approximately 80 nucleotides in length. Their secondary structure includes four short double-helical elements and three loops (D, anti-codon, and T loops). Lineage: Eukaryota; Metazoa; Chordata; Mammalia; Carnivora; Felidae. The record is from Rfam by way of RNAcentral. RNAcentral also lists the same sequence under 4 other names.
ACCUGGCUGGCUCAGUUAGUAGAGCAUGGAAUUCUUUAUCUCAGGGUCGUGAGUUCAAGCCCCAUGCUGGGUG